This 720-nucleotide ribosomal RNA is filed under the name Symbiodinium necroappetens. RNAcentral's name for it is "partial large subunit ribosomal RNA". It matches the Rfam family "Eukaryotic large subunit ribosomal RNA", at positions 107 to 834 of the family's 3401-position model. The record is from RNAcentral. Lineage: Eukaryota; Dinophyceae; Suessiales; Symbiodiniaceae.
GCUUGGGUUGGAAACCGGGGCUUCUGCCUUGGAUUGUGGCCUUUAGACAUACUACCAACGGCGGCGCGAGCGUAAGCCUCUUGGAACAGAGCGUCUACGUGGGUGAGAAUCCUGUGUUUCGCUUGAUGCCCGCCGUGCACGGUACUUGCUCUCAGAGUCACGCUCCUCGGAAUUGGAGCGUAAAUUGGGUGGUAAAUUUCAUCUAAAGCUAAAUACAGGCUCGAGACCGAUAGCAAACAAGUACCAUGAGGGAAAGAUGAAAAGGACUUUGAAAAGAGAGUUAAAAGUGCUUGAAAUCGCUGAACUGGAAGCGAAUGGAACUAGUGCUCUGGUUGAGAUUGCUGUAAAUGGCUGUGACAUCUGGGCUCUGGAACGCAAGUCCUUUGUCUGGCUUGAAGUAGUCGCUUGCAAUGUGUCUCAGCUUGAACAUCAACUUCUAUGCAUACGUGAGGAUGGCCCUUGGCUCAUGCUGUGUUGCUGUGGCGAUACUCUUGUGCUUCUGGGGAUUCAGGUGUGUGUGGAUUGUUGAUCAAUUAGUUCCAUUCGACCCGUCUUGAAACACGGACCAAGGAGUCUAGCACUUGUGCAAGUUCUCAGGUGUCAAACCUCUGUGCGCAAUGAAGGUGACUGCUGGGAUUUUUUGCACCAGCAACCGACCAAUCAAUUGGGAGAAGUUUGAGUAAGAGCAUGUGUGUUAGGACCCGAAAGAUGGUGAACUAU